This 695-nucleotide long non-coding RNA is filed under the name Homo sapiens (human). Its description in RNAcentral is "HSALNT0210221". Lineage: Eukaryota; Metazoa; Chordata; Mammalia; Primates; Hominidae. The record is from RNAcentral.
UACUAUAUGGGAGAGGAUGAAGGAUUUCACAGGACAUGUUAGGGUUCCAUUAUAAAAAGGAGGCUUUAUCACUUUUACCAUCAACUACUGUCUUUGAUUGUGUCCCCAAGGGCUUUGUUUUAGAGCUGGGGUGCAAAGAAGCACUUGCUGGCUUGGAGAUGGAGAGAGCUGGAAAAGAGGAAAAAAUGAAGACCACUGGGAACAGGUAUGGCAUCAGAUUGACGGGUCCAGAAAUUCAUUUGGUUACUGGAGCUUUGCAGGGGGAAAUGAGGUCUGAGAAAACCAGCUGAUAAAAAAGCACAGCAAAGGUCGAACAAAUCAGAGAAAUGAUCAGCCAAAUGAGCUGCAAAAUUAUUUAUUUGCUUGUAAAAAAGAAAUUAGCCAUACUUUGUCAUAUAUAACCAAUACCUGUCUUACUUGAUGGAACACACAAUUGCCGAACAAGAGAGUACAUAUACCCACUCCUUUGUCCACUAAUCCAGUAUGGUACAGAUGUGAGAUGCAGCUUUAUAGAGCCCAGUGAAGAGAGUUGCUUCUCCUCUCCUCAGUGUGGUGCUUACUCUAUGUUUCAGUUCAGCAUACUUUUGACAUCUUGAUUUGGUGCUGACAACCAGUGGCAUUUUUCUCACAUAAUUACGAGUGACUAUAAUCCUCCAAAAGAGAGCAAAAUACACUGUAAAUGACCAAAGACAUAC